RNAcentral lists this ribosomal RNA (522 nucleotides) under Salmonella enterica subsp. enterica serovar Newport str. SHSN007. Its description in RNAcentral is "bacterial SSU rRNA". It matches the Rfam family "Bacterial small subunit ribosomal RNA", at positions 1014 to 1533 of the family's 1533-position model. The record is from RNAcentral. Lineage: Bacteria; Pseudomonadati; Pseudomonadota; Gammaproteobacteria; Enterobacterales; Enterobacteriaceae.
GUGCCUUCGGGAACUGUGAGACAGGUGCUGCAUGGCUGUCGUCAGCUCGUGUUGUGAAAUGUUGGGUUAAGUCCCGCAACGAGCGCAACCCUUAUCCUUUGUUGCCAGCGAUUAGGUCGGGAACUCAAAGGAGACUGCCAGUGAUAAACUGGAGGAAGGUGGGGAUGACGUCAAGUCAUCAUGGCCCUUACGACCAGGGCUACACACGUGCUACAAUGGCGCAUACAAAGAGAAGCGACCUCGCGAGAGCAAGCGGACCUCAUAAAGUGCGUCGUAGUCCGGAUUGGAGUCUGCAACUCGACUCCAUGAAGUCGGAAUCGCUAGUAAUCGUGGAUCAGAAUGCCACGGUGAAUACGUUCCCGGGCCUUGUACACACCGCCCGUCACACCAUGGGAGUGGGUUGCAAAAGAAGUAGGUAGCUUAACCUUCGGGAGGGCGCUUACCACUUUGUGAUUCAUGACUGGGGUGAAGUCGUAACAAGGUAACCGUAGGGGAACCUGCGGUUGGAUCACCUCCUUACCU